RNAcentral lists this ribosomal RNA (447 nucleotides) under uncultured bacterium. RNAcentral describes it as "SSU rRNA". It matches the Rfam family "Bacterial small subunit ribosomal RNA", at positions 26 to 518 of the family's 1533-position model. The record is from RNAcentral.
AGAGCGAACGCUGGCGGCAGGCCUAACACAUGCAAGUCGAGCGCCGUAGCAAUACGGAGCGGCAGACGGGAGAGUAACACGUGGGAACGUACCCUUUGGUUCGGAACAACCCAGGGAAACUUGGGCUAAUACCGAAUAAGCCCUUACGGGGAAAGAUUUAUCGCCGAAGGAUCGGCCCGCGUCUGAUUAGCUAGUUGGUGGGGUAAUGGCUCACCAAGGCGACGAUCAGUAGCUGGUCUGAGAGGAUGAUCAGCCACAUUGGGACUGAGACACGGCCCAAACUCCUACGGGAGGCAGCAGUGGGGGAAUAUUGGACAAUGGGCGCAAGCCUGAUCCAGCCAUGCCGCGUGAGUGAUGAAGGCCCUAGGGUUGUAAAGCUCUUUUGUGCGGGAAGAUAAUGACGGUACCGCAAGAAUAAGCCCCGGCUAACUUCGUGCCAGCAGCCGC